This 255-nucleotide ribosomal RNA is filed under the name Escherichia coli. RNAcentral describes it as "partial 23S ribosomal RNA". It matches the Rfam family "Bacterial large subunit ribosomal RNA", at positions 1639 to 1876 of the family's 2925-position model. Lineage: Bacteria; Pseudomonadati; Pseudomonadota; Gammaproteobacteria; Enterobacterales; Enterobacteriaceae. The record is from RNAcentral. RNAcentral also lists the same sequence under 1 other name.
AAAUCGUACCCCAAACCGACACAGGUGGUCAGGUAGAGAAUACCAAGGCGCUUGAGAGAACUCGGGUGAAGGAACUAGGCAAAAUGGUGCCGUAACUUCGGGAGAAGGCACGCUGAUAUGUAGGUGAGGUCCCUCGCGGAUGGAGCUGAAAUCAGUCGAAGAUACCAGCUGGCUGCAACUGUUUAUUAAAAACACAGCACUGUGCAAACACGAAAGUGGACGUAUACGGUGUGACGCCUGCCCGGUGCCGGAAGG